CUCGAGGCAGGUGAGCCCCACAGGUUACACAUCAUAAUGCCUACCCCAUCGUUACAAGGCAUUUAUGAUGGUGUCUUAAGUCAGCAACCUCAACAACUCCCCUGGUCUCCAGCCAGGAAUAAAAGCGCUGAAGGAAAUCAGGCCACAGUAAUUUCCCCAAACCACAGAGCUAACAUGCAUGAUACAGCUCAGUCCUGCUUGGAGCACAGGAGCAGCAAACUCAGCACCUGCAAAGUCUUAGAGGAGAGCUGGGCUCCCAUCCCAAGCCAUACAACAGGCAAUGAGUAAUCAUCUGAGCAGUGAAAAAUAAUGCAUGGAGUCCAUUACCCGGCUGUGGUGGGCUAUCCGGUCUGGAGCUGAAGCUGGGAGUGCCAUUAUAUCAGCAGUGAGAUGACCUGACGUGGAGCUGGGAUUUGAGCCAUCCCAAAGUGUCACACACAAGAUUUGCCUGCUCAUGGUAUCUGCUCCUCUCACUAGUCCUGCAGCUGGGAAGAUACUGCGCUCAUAAGCCACGUGAGUAAUUCAACAAGGAAAAGAGUAGAAACACUGAAUGGGUAGAACAAUGUGUGGUUAACAAAGCACCGCACUGGAGAUCACACACUUGGUUUUACCUCUUGAUAUUGAAGGGCACUCUGGAGCAAACCACAUGCCUGCCAUCCCCGACGGGGCUCUCAAUGCUUUAAGCUUUAAUUUCCAUACUUUCAAGCUUCCCUAGCAUGUAAUUGGGUUCUUUAAUUUUUUUAUUUUUUUUUUUAAGAAUUAAUGCUCAAAAUGACAGCAUUUCUCUCUACCAAGAUCUGUAUAGAUGGUGCAAAAGACCACCAGAGCAAUACCCCAUAACAGUGCAAGGUAAUGAACAAGACAUCCCCCAAGAGAGCUACAUUCGCAUUGGUAUAUGUGAAUACAUACCUUUGUAGCAGGAAUAAAGCACUGUGCCAUUGCAUCACAGCAUGAUGAGCCAAGCUAAACCUUCAGGAGAGUCCUUAUUCAGCCGGGCCAAGCCCUGCUUCGGGGUCUGUAAUGACAGGCUCAUUCCUUGAGCUUUGGAAGAGCCUUAAAGGGGCAUUAAGUUAUCCAGCAAGCCCAUUCCCCAAACUCUCCUCCCACAAAACAGGCUCUAAAGUGAUCCAGUGGCAGGGACCAAGGUUGGUAAAGCUGGGUCCCAGCUAUCUGCUGGAAACAGAAGGCAAAGCAUGGUCCCAGCAGGGAUUUGGGUUGGCCACAAGUGCAGCACACAAACAGUUUUGUACCUGCCAUGGGACCCUUUUCUUCCCUUUUCUCCCUAUUUAACUGGCACAGUAUUUUAUGCUCUUACCCCAUCAACACAUCACAACUGCACAUCUCUUUCAUUUCUCGUAUUUUUAUUCAAAAAGAAGGUUUGCUAACAGCGAUCAGUACCAUGGCCCAGGCCCCUCCAUACAAAAGCUGACUUCAGCAGUCCUGGGCCUUCAUCUCCAUCCCUCCCUCCUCCGUACCAAACCAGGGACUUACAACCACUCCUGAAUCAUGGGAUGCUCUUCGACACUGCAGAUAGCUCCCACCUUGCAAUUUCACUCUUUGUCUCCCUCCUAUCUCAGGAAACCUCAGCAGCUUAAGCAGAGGUUCACAGACAGAUUUAGCUUUAUCCUGGCACUAAACUCAAUGAAAAGAAAGUUAAAAAAAAAA
Molecule: non-coding RNA, 1665 nt
Organism: Coturnix japonica (Japanese quail)
Lineage: Eukaryota; Metazoa; Chordata; Aves; Galliformes; Phasianidae
Source: RefSeq, a predicted model, not a curated record